UUCACGCUAUGUAUUACUACAUACUUUAGUAAAUCAGGUAUUGUGCUUGCAAAGACAGAGGCUAAUAGAACAUUUUCAAGUUAAACAUGCAGGAAGCCCAGUAUAACAAGGCAGGCCUGUGUGCAGAGCCACUCUUUCCCUUUCUUUUUGUGUAUACAUACAUAUUUAUAUAAUACAAUUAAAGAAUGAAAAAUACCAUAAUAUGUAGGCAAAGCUGUAUUUUUCUUUAAAGCAAUACAGUAAGAAAAAAGCUAUAUUCAGACUAAAACGAAAGUGAGAAGGAACAUUUCUUUUCAUCUGAAAUACUAUAGAAGUCUGAGGAAAUUUUUUUGAGGUUAUGUCACCCUCUCCACAUUUAAUACAGGAUUUAUGAAAUGGAGCAUGAUUGGGGGCAGAGUUUUUGUUUCAUGUCUUCUUCCUGGCUCUCUUCAUCCCUGUUCAUGCUUCAGCAACCUAUUUUAUAUUUAGUUUUCCCAGAGCAAUCAAAGACAGAACAUGGAUUAGAGCCCUGAGACCAACUUUAAAUGCAACUGAAGCCUGCACUUGGGUAACUGCACUGAGAGUAAAAGUGUCCUAAUUGAGGAGAUUACUUGAAGUUUAACUAGAUACCUGUGAAAAAUACACCUCUAGAGAUGAUAAAUCAAUAUUAUUACUGCUGGUUAUUUUUAAUUUAGGUUGUUGGCCUUUAAAGAGGACUUUGCUCCCUGAAGAUGGAAGUAAGAAGGUUGUGCUAGCCUGAGGAGGUGUGAUUUUUGAAUGGUGUUUUAUGACAUGUGAGUCAUCAUACAGAAAAGUUUUAAAAAACAUAUUAAAGACCUGGUGGGAGGACAGCAUCUCCCGUGGGGAGCUGCAGAGUGAGUCUGGAGCAGCAGCAGCGGAGGUCUCCAGGGAUAACGGCUACCGAGGGUGCCUGGGUCUGAGGUGAGCAGCCCCCGCAGCCCCCGCUUCAGGACCCACUGCAGGACUUCGCUUCGCCGUAUCUGAGCUAUCUAUUUGUGCUUUCCCUGCCUGCAUGGCAGAGACACAACUUUUCUGCAGGGCAUCAGAUCUGUUUGUAUGCAAAGUGCUGGGCAGGGACUUGCUCUGUAAGGCACAGACUUUCCUACUGCUAUUUUAGUUCAGAUUUUCCUCUUAUUCUCGAGUGAACCAGAUUUACUGCUUGCAGAAACAAUAUUGGCUCAACUUGCAAAAUGUCAGCGUCGAGCUAACUGGGUAAUAUCUGCUGAGGAGGUGAUGGGAGGGGGCUGCGCUGGACAAAGCCGGAGGAGCGGUGGGCUGCGUGCGGCGGGGGGGCACAGCUUCGGCCGUUGUACCCACCCUGCCUUCCGUGGCAACAAAAUCAAACCUGUUUUCAGAAGACAAGCAAGAAUAUGGGCAGAGGGAUGGUGUGAUGAGAUGCAAAAGCCAACACAACAGCACCGGUACCCACGAGCCGCAUCCCCCCAGCGACGACCCCUGUGCUCCCCGGGGUCUCUCCGGGGGAAAGGCACAGCAGCACCCUGCUCCCAGUUUCAGUAUUUGGAGGUUUUUUCCCCCAGUUUCUAGCAAUUCCUCUUUUCUGCCACUCCGCCUCUCUGGAGUUUUUGCUGACAGGACAGAACUGCUGCUAGCAAACACAUUAUUCAUUGUGAUUGAGUGCCUAGUAAUUACUUUAUAUAUUUUUUCAAUUCUCAAAUUAAAACCAUUUACUAGUAGGAACAGAUGUUAAACUCAGGACUCUUGUUGAUUGUUAGCGUGACACACACAUGAAAUGUUUUAAACGAGAAGGCUGAUUGAAUUUUAAAUAUGCUGAUCACACUGGUGGAAUUGAAAAUAAUUUAAACUGGGAAUAACUGAAAUGUUUCCAAGAAGAGAAGACAGAGGUGGGGUUGUUUUUCAAACUCCUGAUUGCAUAAAUCAUGUGAAGUUCUGCAGACUAAACACAACAAUCUACUGCAUCUUAGAGUACCAAACGUGAGGCUUGCGUGGUUGUUACUUCAAAAUGGCAGGUGAAAAGAAUUCAAAAAAUAAAGCAAAAUCAAUACUUCAGGUAUUAUCCACAUGCUUGUAGGAGCUUGGGUUUUUUGUUUUGUUUUGUUUUGUUUGCUUAUUCAGUAGAAUUACCUUUAUCAGGAAAUCUGACAUUAUUGCUUAUGGAGGGAUUAGUGCCCAUCAUGAAGGCUGAGCAGAUCUCUUGCAGUCUCUUUUUGCCUGUAGAAAGCCCCAGCUCACUCUCCCAAACUGGAGAAGGUGAUGAUUUCACUCUGCAAGCGUUGGUGGUAAGAAGAAAUGGGCAAAUUAUUCCAAAACCCCAACUGAGGAUCCAAAUCUCCAGGCUGGAGGUAAGGGCAACCUAUCACUGUUAAAAUAAAGAAGAUGUUUUUCGUUUUUACUUCAGUGGACAGAUUUGCCUGCGCAUGUAUUUUGCAUAAGAAAAUCAAAACCCCGUCAAUGUAUUUAUAAGAAAAAUGUCUAUUUUAAUCACAACGGAAGAUUUUGCAUCUUUACAUUUUCUAGUGACCCUAAUGCUUUGAAACCUUUCUGCUGGACAGGUGGCAUCUCUGCGAUGCUCCUGGGGAGUGAGAUAUGGGUUCUGCUCCCAUGCUUGUCCUGAAGCCGCUGGGGUUCUGGCAUGAAGUCUGCAAUAUUGGUUCCACCAACCUAUAAAGUUGGUUAUUUUCCAACUCUGCAAAGGUGCUGAGAGACGUAAUUACUGUCUGCAGAACACUUUCCUAUAUUUGAAUGAGAGAAGAUGCAUGUCUUGUAUGCAGAGCUUUUUUUUUUUUUUUUUUUGUAAGCUGACUUUGCAGGAUUUAUUGCAUACAAGGAAUGAAAAUUUGAGUUUGGAAAGUAAUACAGUAACAAUUGCAAUUAACCUCCACAACCCCCAGGUAACCCCCGGGUGUUGGGUUUAAAUCACAUUGCUUUUAAUUAAGUUUAGUGGCCAAGUACUGCUUGUUCUAAAGCAUUUUACUGGCACUUCUUCUGCAACAAAAUGCUUUAAAGCCUGACUGUUGUGCCAGCUUGACCCCAUGUGAGCUAAUGCCAAAAGGUAACAACAUAGGAGAGGAAAUACAGGUCGAAAAAGCAGUUACUGAGCAGGUACAACUGCGAUUUGUUACAAAACACUUUGGUAUAUAUGUACUUUCCUCUUAUGUCUGACAUAAUUUACAGACUUAUAACACUUGCUGAACUUCUCAAAAUGAGAAAACUCCCACUGAGACAGUAAAUUGUUGUUGCAUUGAAUGAUCCUUGACAAUCUAUUGUCACAAUACGUGCCACAUUAAAACAGUCUGGCACCAAUACUGGAGAAAGUCUCCUGACGUAUGUCGUCUUCUGGGGCUGUCAUGCUUUUAUUGUGUUCAUGAUCCAUGGAGGAAAGGUUGCUAAUAGCAGACAUUGACCCACUGAUGGUAAUUGCUGUGAAAACAUUAUUCAAGCUUAUUAUGUUAAUGACAGAAGGAUGAGGCACUUCCUAAAAAGUUAGUAUGGCAUCACCAGAGAUGCUUUAUUUAUUUAACUGAUUGAUCAUUUAAAGGUUUAUAAAAUGCCUUCUCUGUAUAAUAACACUGCAUAAUCAUGUACAUACAAAUUAAACAAUCCACAAAGCUAAAGGCAGAAUGGUUGUUGAAGAUCUGAUUUUCAUGUAAAAACUCAAGACUUUUAUGGGCUUAUUUACAUAACAAGUCAUGGUCUAGUCUCCUUUACCAGUGUCAGCCCGCCACGGAGUUGGCUUCAGCUGUAAAUUUUUACGGUUUGGAGCUAGUGGAAUACAAGAGAAUGGUUUGCAUAUUUUAGUGAUUUGAAAUACUUUUUUUAUUGAAGAAAACAGUGUAAUUUUCUUCCAGGAGAAUGAUUUCUUCCCUAAAAAUGCGAUGCUUGCACACUUUCCCAGGGCAAAGUUAUGGCUUUUCUCCUUCCAGUUAAUGCCUGCAGACUGCCUCCUCCUAUGUAUUCUCCUUUCUACCAGGAACAAAUCUACUGCAAACUCUGGGUCUGAGCAUCCCUGAUCCCCUGGAGCCGGGGGAAAGUAUAGGUCACAUUGCUCUCCAACUGGUUAAACCGAAGUAGAUAAAAAGAUCUUUACAUAGACAAGACGUAGCAUAGGUGUGUCCUCUGGCUGGAGAAGCGCAGCAGAAAUAGUCAAACUAUUUCUCAGUAUAAAUGGUCUAACCAAGGGAUCCGGAGGGUCUCUCCCAAAUUUGAUGACAAUGAUCUCUAAACCAGACGUGGCUGAUCCAGCGAGGAAAUUUCCGAGUGGAAGCUAUGACCCAAAGCCUGGAGGCUGAUGCAGUUCUGUCAGCAGAGCAGAAGGAGAGGUGACUAAGAGCAAAACGAAGGCCAAGGCUACCCUGCUCUUGCUUCUGGCUUAGCCCUCCGUAUUUCCUCUAGGCUCAGCCUUCAGGCUCUCGGAUCGCCUCAUUUCACAAUGACUUGACUUGCCAUCGAAGGACGGUUAUAGCAAUUCCGUUUGUAUCCUCUUAGACUCGUUUGACUACAACCAGAGAGCUCUAGAAAUGGAUUAAUUGAUUUUCAUGUUCAGAAGAGGCCAUUCCCCAUUUAACCUAUGUAUCUGUUGCUACAGAUUUUCACAUCUUUUCAAUCUAUUCAUGUGUUCGAUGGAUCUGACAAAAUGUCUAAAACCAAACAGAUUUGAAGCAUUUAUUUUCUCUUUCCUAUCUUUACUGCCCCAUCUAGUUCAGAAGCAUGCCUGCUUCCUUUUGCUUUGCAACUUAAUGCAAUUUUUGUAUUUGCAGCCCAUACCAAGCUGCAUAGAGGAUAUACAACAAAAUGCUGCAACAUUUGACAAGUUUUUGAACAGCGUGGCCAAAACUUACAUUUGUGUCAGCCUGUAUUAAAUCAGUCCUGCACAUUUUUUAGCAGUUAUGACUUUGAACUUCUACAUGAAACAGAAACACUGACCCUUUACAGAUGAAGUACAUAAAUAAACCUUUGCUUCAACAGCCUUUAGAAAAAACAGUGCUUUAUGGCAAAAAGUCCCUCAUCACACUCCUCUCUCAUAUAUUAGAAAAAAGGAAAAAAACGGAUGUUUGCUGUGUAUUCAAUGGCUGGAAGAGAAAGCAGCACGUUGACAAAUGCUGACCUGGAGCUCCACGUUGAGAAGUGCACUGAACUUUACUUUGAAAACUCACGGCCAGAGUUAAAGAAGUGAAUUGUGCACAUUUCCUCCAUCUGCUUCUGUGGUAACCGCCUGGAGAAGGACACAGGACACGCAGGCUCUUCCCAUCCACCAAGUAAAGGGUAGGGAAUAUACAGGGAUUGGCUCCUUGGUGCUGAAAGCCCCAGGAAUUUUUAAUAACAUAUAGUCUAGGCUGGAAUAAUCUUCAGGAGGUAAAAGAAGAGUCUUUUUAGCAGCUCAUUGCUGAGUAUAGCAGUGAAGUAUAACCAGGGGCUCUUGUCCAUAAUGGUACAUCGGGGUUGCAACUUCCAAGAUUUCAGCACUUCUUGGACAUCACAGGCCCUUGUGCUCCAUGUUUAAGAUGCGGUUAGCUCCAAUGUCGGUGUACAGCAAUUCGAAUAUACAGUAACCUUGUACUAGCAUUGUCACGAUCAUUUCUUGGCCAUCCAUCAUGCCAGUAUCUCUGUAUCCUUAUGUAGAGCAAGUGACACCUUCCAGCAGCAAAGGAACUUUGAUUGCAUCUUAUCUAGAGCUCAGCAUGGAGGUUAGCUCUCCAAUAGCUCUGUCUGGAAGGGUAAAUCAGGUGUUUUUGCUGGAUUUUUCCACUACAUAUACAAAAUCUUGGGAGGAGAUUUUAUUGCAUAGGUGAUGGCGGUGUGGCUCCUGUGUUGAUUUAUUUUGCUUUAUUUCGCUUUAUUUCAUGCUGUUCAAGUUUGUUCUCCCCAAAGCCUUUAAUCUUCCUGGAGGGAAGAUGUUGAUGCAAAGUUGAAAGCGUUGAAACAAACCAUCCAUACACUCAGUGCCCCUCACUGGGAAUUGCCCCAGACUCUAAAAAGAAGAAAAGGGGGAUUCUAAGAGCCCAUGAUUGCUAGUGAAAGCACAGAUACAACACUCGCUCUUCCCAAUGAACCUGCCGUGGAUCUCCCAGCAGUUUCACCUACAGCAAGCACAUGGACGAUGCGGCCCCGUGCUUGUGCCUGGGGCUGGCUCUCUUUCCCACCAAGACGGAUAAGCUGUGCUCAUAACCAAACUCCUGCACAUUAAUAUUACCUUGUUGACUUCUCCUACAACAGACGAAGUCAGCAACUGCAAAAUCGAGUAGCAAGCGAGGCUCAUUUUCUUGGAGUGCGCGAUGACCAUUGACAGGGUUUGUAUGUAUGACUGACACAGUAGAUUAACUUACAAUAAAAAUGGAACUUUCACAUAAAUGACAUCAGGAGAUAUCUUUAGUGCUAUGCUCAUCUGCCUGAAGGGACAAUGUGAUUUUUCUAUUACUGCUAAGAUGCACAAUAGCAUUGCUCGGCUGAUUUGGUUUUAUUUUUAUAUUGUGCUGCCAGUUCAAUUACAAAUACAGACAAGUGGCAUCAAUGGCAAUAAAGCAUCCAUCCUCCAAAACCCAGGUUCCUCUACCGUUCAAACAGUGAGGGCACCUAAGAAGUCACUGGGCACUUCUGAAAAUGUGGUAUCAUUGUAACAUUGAAAAAGGUAGGUGUUUGGAUUGACACAUUCCCUUAAAUGCAUUGUUUUACCCAAGUGAAAAUGUAUUCGUUGAUCUUUUAUAGCACCUUUCAGGUCUGGAAUAGGCAUGUCACAUCUAUGGCAAGAGUAGAUUUAUUUCUCAAGAACGUCCCUUUCUGUCACUUCUAUUUGCCUAGUUUGGUGAGUUUACAAACGUUUGGAAAAAUUGCAGUUUGCACAUACUCAGCUAAGAUAUUUAAGAUUUUUUAGAAGUCAUAUUAAUCCAGGUUUUUGCCUACACUGGGCGGGCUGUGGCUUGGGACACUCCCUGCAAUUGCAUCUCUGACAG
Molecule: long non-coding RNA, 6926 nt
Organism: Aquila chrysaetos chrysaetos
Lineage: Eukaryota; Metazoa; Chordata; Aves; Accipitriformes; Accipitridae
Exons: 3
Source: RefSeq, a predicted model, not a curated record